This 460-nucleotide ribosomal RNA is filed under the name uncultured bacterium. RNAcentral describes it as "partial 16S ribosomal RNA". It matches the Rfam family "Bacterial small subunit ribosomal RNA", at positions 338 to 795 of the family's 1533-position model. The record is from RNAcentral.
CCUACGGGAGGCAGCAGUGAGGAAUAUUGGUCAAUGGACGAGAGUCUGAACCAGCCAAGUAGCGUGAAGGAUGACUGCCCUAUGGGUUGUAAACUUCUUUUGUAUGGGAAUAAAACAGGGUAUGCAUACCCUCUUGUAUGUACCAUAUGAAUAAGGAUCGGCUAACUUCGUUCCAGCAGCCGCGGUUAUUAGGAGGAUCGCAGCGUUAUCCGGAUUUGUUGGGGUUAAAGGGAGCGUAGGUGGAGUGUUAAGUCAGUUGGGAAAGUUGGCGGCUCAACCGUAAAAUUGCAGUUGAAACUGGCAGUCUUGAGUACAGUAGAGGUGGGCGGAAUUCGUGGUGUAGCGGUGAAAUGCUUAGAUAUCACGAAGAACUCCGAUUGCGAAGGCAGCUCACUGGACUGCAACUGACACUGAUGCUCGAAAGUGUGGGUAUCAAACAGGAUUAGAUACCCUGGUAGUC